Molecule: ribosomal RNA, 274 nt
Filed under: uncultured bacterium
Lineage: Bacteria
Description: partial 16S ribosomal RNA
Rfam family: Bacterial small subunit ribosomal RNA
Source: RNAcentral
AUACGGAGGGGGCUAGCGUUGUUCGGAUUUACUGGGCGUAAAGGGCGCGUAGGCGGGAAGUCAAGUUAGGGGUGAAAGCCCUGGGCUCAACCCAGGAACUGCGUUUGAUACUGAUUGACUAGAGGCCGGGAGAGGGUAGUGGAAUUCCCAGUGUAGAGGUGAAAUUCGUAGAUAUUGGGAAGAACACCGGUGGCGAAGGCGACUUCCUGGACGGCCACUGACGCUGAGACCCGAAAGCGUGGGGAGCAAACAGGAUUAGAAACCCUAGUAGUCC